UACGAAGGGGGGCUAGCGUUGCUCGGAAUCACUGGGCGUAAAGGGUGCGUAGGCGGGUCUUUAAGUCAGGGGUGAAAUCCUGGAGCUCAACUCCAGAACUGCCUUUGAUACUGAGGAUCUUGAGUUCGGGGAGAGGUGAGUGGAACUGCGAGUGUAGAGGUGAAAUUCGUAGAUAUUCGCAAGAACACCAGUGGCGAAGGCGGCUCACUGGCCCGAUACUGACGCUGAGGCACGAAAGCGUGGGGAAGCAAACAGGGA
This 258-nucleotide ribosomal RNA is filed under the name uncultured bacterium. RNAcentral describes it as "partial 16S ribosomal RNA". It matches the Rfam family "Bacterial small subunit ribosomal RNA", at positions 524 to 778 of the family's 1533-position model. The record is from RNAcentral.